UAGGGAAUCUUCGGCAAUGGGGGCAACCCUGACCGAGCAACGCCGCGUGAGUGAAGAAGGUUUUCGGAUCGUAAAGCUCUGUUGUAAGUCAAGAACGGGUGUGAGAGUGGAAAGUUCACACUGUGACGGUAGCUUACCAGAAAGGGACGGCUAACUACGUGCCAGCAGCCGCGGUAAUACGUAGGUCCCGAGCGUUGUCCGGAUUUAUUGGGCGUAAAGCGAGCGCAGGCGGUUUGAUAAGUCUGAAGUUAAAGGCUGUGGCUCAACCAUAGUUCGCUUUGGAAACUGUCAAACUUGAGUGCAGAAGGGGAGAGUGGAAUUCCAUGUGUAGCGGUGAAAUGCGUAGAUAUAUGGAGGAACACCGGUGGCGAAAGCGGCUCUCUGGUCUGUAACUGACGCUGAGGCUCGAAAGCGUGGGGGAGCGAACAGGAUUAGGAUACC
RNAcentral lists this ribosomal RNA (441 nucleotides) under uncultured bacterium. RNAcentral's name for it is "partial 16S ribosomal RNA". It matches the Rfam family "Bacterial small subunit ribosomal RNA", at positions 355 to 786 of the family's 1533-position model. The record is from RNAcentral.